This is a long non-coding RNA of Mercurialis annua (annual mercury), 4596 nucleotides long. RefSeq lists it as uncharacterized. The record is from RefSeq and is a predicted model, not a curated record. Lineage: Eukaryota; Viridiplantae; Streptophyta; Magnoliopsida; Malpighiales; Euphorbiaceae. The transcript is spliced from 7 exons.
AUUACGUGUAGUGCCACGAGGCAUAAUCGUAAAGAUUAAGAACGAGAAAAUCAGAUUAGGAUUGGAUAAUAAGGACUUAGACCGAAGAGGGUCUAUUGGAAUUAUCGUAGGAUAAUAAUUUAAAUGGAAAAUUAUUAUGCGAUGAAUUGGAUUUAAUCGGGACAAAAAUGGAAUGAGAUAAAAUAAGUUGGAAAGCCAGAGUUAAUAAUAUUCACGUCAAGGUCCGUGAAAUAUUAUUAAUAAAUGAUCGUCAAGUUUCGUAAGUGUACGAAAUCGUUUUAGAAGAAAGUUUGACGGUUAGUUAAGAAUAAGGGUUAAAGUGCAAAUUAGCCACUUAAGGGCUAAAGUGGACUUUUAACCACAAACUUCCGAAGGAAGUUAUGUUUUACUCUAUUUUCUCAAGAUAAGAAAAUAAUAUCGAUAAAGUGGUUAUCGAUAGUCAUUAAUAUGAAAAUUGGACGAAAAAGUGAGAAAAAGUGCAAAUUAGCUCAAAAUAGAAAUUUGAGCGUUUUUGGCCAAAAUUGCCAAAAUAAAUUGUUGAAAAGUGAUAUUAUAAGAUAUGAUACUAAUAUUAUUUAUUUGGAAAAUAAAUAAUACGGAAUUCAUCGAGAAUCGAAUAAUUAAAGGAUUAGUGGACUAAAUUGGACGAAAGAAAAGUUAGAAGUUAGAGGUUGAGGAGGUGGCAAACUCAAGGACUAAAGGAGACUUUUGUCUCAUUUAUCUAAGCCACUUGCAUAUGAGUUUAAACUCAGCAAGCUUAUCAUUUUCAGCUCCCAAAUUUCGUACUCCAUCCUUUCUCCAUGGAAGAUCAUCAACCAAAUUUCAAAGGAGCAUAACUUCUUCGUUUCUCAACGAAAUUGGACGAUUCUUGUGGCCACGGAACGAGAAGAAGGAGAGCUACUGAUCUAGCCCUAUUGUUCAAGGUGUUCUUGAGUUGAAUUGAAGCAAAGUUGAUGGUGAAUUUGAGCUUGAAGUGUUUGGCCAUGAUCAACAAUCCAAGACUCGACGAAGCGACUAUCGACAAGGCUUGAGGGGAACGGAUCGAGAUGUCUUCGUGUUUAUUUAAAGAUUAUGGAUAGCAAGUGGGAUAGUAUGAUAUGAUUUGAAGAGUCAAGCUUCCGAAGUUUUAAUUCUCGGAACUCAUUUGCACAAGAAGUGAAAGAAGGUUUUCAUUCUAGCGGUCCGCAGUAGUCUAGAUGUUUUUUUCUAUGUAUUUGUCUAGCGCAUUCUAACUCUGAUAUUUUUGUAAAAUGGGGUCACAUGUAUUUUGAUAUAUGAAAAAUGAUUUGAUUUACGAAAAAUUUACACAGGAUUUUAGGCUUGCUACGGGUUUCGGAGCUACCACUCCCAUUCCCUAGCGCCGGUCGCGACUCAUAAAUUUGGGUCGUGACAAAGGUGGUAUCAGAGCAAUGGUUUAGAUUCAUAGGCCAUUGCCUGUAUACGAUUGAUGUUUGUAGUUCCUAGGUAUGAUGUCAAUAGGUUAAGCUAAGAACUACUGCGGAUUAUAGGAAUUUCCAGUCAUGUCUUUUGAACGUUAUCAUCUUUUUCAUCGAUUUUUCAAUCAUUUUACAAAGACGUCCCCUCCUAUAUGUGCUAUUAGGAGUCGAGUUAGGAAUGUGCAUGAGCACAAUUUAUGUUUUGUGUUUACUCGAGUAAGGAAUAUGCUUUCGAGUAUCUAUAGUCUGCGAAGAGUUAUAUACUCUCGAGACUCAUAUUAUAUAAGAACGUCGUUAUGAAUCGCAAUGGUUUUGAAUUGAUUGAAUGGUAUAUGAUGGAUGAAAUAUGUAUUGCUUUGCAGCGCGAUCACUCAGGAGAGUGAUAUGCUCACAAGUAUGUAAGCCUGUGAUAAUUUAUAUUAUACAUGAAAUGUAUAUAUUAUAAUCGAUUGUUAUGAAUAGAAAUAGUUCUUAUGGUUAAAUGCUGCAAAGUUUGCUAAGUCUAUGUUGAGAGAAAUGCUCGCAAGACAUAAGAUAGGCGACGUAGCCAAGGAAAAUCUAGGAGACGUAGAUUUUAUUUGAACUCGAUCAAUAUAGAUGUAUAUAGAUUGCGAACGAUAGUACGAUAAAUGAUAAGAAAUAAUAGUUAUACAGAGUCUGAUGUCAAAGAAACUUACAUAAAACCCGUUUUAUUAGAAGAAAAGUAUUUGAUUUGAAUGAGAUGUUUUGAAAAGACAUAAUUGUGCCCGGACACGAUUCAUAACAACAUCGCAUUGACACGAAUAGAAUUGCAUCACUACAUCCAUAUUGCAUUCACUAAUAGGACAUGCAUCAUAUACAUUGUGUAUGUUUGAAAAUGAAAAAGAGGAGUAUCAUUGCAACUCUUGUGAUGAGAGAAGUCAUCACACCGGCGCACAAUUAUGACAUGAUUUGAGAAAUGAAAAGUAUCGUGAUUUUAAACGGAUGAGUUUUCCAACGUAAGUAAGCUCAGACAGAGACUCUGUAUAUAGAGGCAUAGAACAAGACUGAUCACCUUGUUAGGCCUAUAUGAAAACAUAUGUAUGUAACACGACAAGUAUAUAGAACGACGAGUAGUGUAAUGCGAAUCGCAACGUGUCGAGAUUUGAAUUGCAAAUCUCUAAUGUCGGUCUUGUAUAUUAAAUACAAGAACAACGACGCUACUUUACAAACAUGUAAAGUGAUAGCGGCCAUGAUUAAACUCGAAGCACGUUUACCUCUAGGACGAGGAAAUCGAACAUAGAAGUUAGUUACGUCAGGGGAUAUGAACCCUACGAACAAACAUAUGUUGUUCAAAAAGGUCGAAUAAAGAUAAUUAAUUCAUAAUAGUUAUGAAUCAAGAAGUAACAAGAUGGUUAGGAUUGUUAGCAUAAGAAGUUACUCGAUAAGUAUAUCGAGAUGACCGUAUAAACCUAAUUGUAAAGUCAACAGUUAGUGAAUAACUAAUCAGAGUAUCGCAGCGGAAGUGUGGAAGGAAGUGAAUGAUAAGGUUUGAACAAGGAUUGGUUAAGUGAUAUUAGAAGAUUAUGAAAAUUCGAGGACGAAUUUUUAUAAGGGGGGAAGAUUGUAAUAACCUAAAUUUUUGAGGUAUUACGUGUAGUGCCACGAGGCAUAAUCGUAAAGAUUAAGAACGAGAAAAUCAGAUUAGGAUUGGAUAAUAAGGACUUAGACCGAAGAGGGUCUAUUGGAAUUAUCGUAGGAUAAUAAUUUAAAUGGAAAAUUAUUAUGCGAUGAAUUGGAUUUAAUCGGGACAAAAAUGGAAUGAGAUAAAAUAAGUUGGAAAGCCAGAGUUAAUAAUAUUCACGUCAAGGUCCGUGAAAUAUUAUUAAUAAAUGAUCGUCAAGUUUCGUAAGUGUACGAAAUCGUUUUAGAAGAAAGUUUGACGGUUAGUUAAGAAUAAGGGUUAAAGUGCAAAUUAGCCACUUAAGGGCUAAAGUGGACUUUUAACCACAAACUUCCGAAGGAAGUUAUGUUUUACUCUAUUUUCUCAAGAUAAGAAAAUAAUAUCGAUAAAGUGGUUAUCGAUAGUCAUUAAUAUGAAAAUUGGACGAAAAAGUGAGAAAAAGUGCAAAUUAGCUCAAAAUAGAAAUUUGAGCGUUUUUGGCCAAAAUUGCCAAAAUAAAUUGUUGAAAAGUGAUAUUAUAAGAUAUGAUACUAAUAUUAUUUAUUUGGAAAAUAAAUAAUACGGAAUUCAUCGAGAAUCGAAUAAUUAAAGGAUUAGUGGACUAAAUUGGACGAAAGAAAAGUUAGAAGUUAGAGGUUGAGGAGGUGGCAAACUCAAGGACUAAAGGAGACUUUUGUCUCAUUUAUCUAAGCCACUUGCAUAUGAGUUUAAACUCAGCAAGCUUAUCAUUUUCAGCUCCCAAAUUUCGUACUCCAUCCUUUCUCCAUGGAAGAUCAUCAACCAAAUUUCAAAGGAGCAUAACUUCUUCGUUUCUCAACGAAAUUGGACGAUUCUUGUGGCCACGGAACGAGAAGAAGGAGAGCUACUGAUCUAGCCCUAUUGUUCAAGGUGUUCUUGAGUUGAAUUGAAGCAAAGUUGAUGGUGAAUUUGAGCUUGAAGUGUUUGGCCAUGAUCAACAAUCCAAGGUGAGACUCGACGAAGCGACUAUCGACAAGGCUUGAGGGGAACGGAUCGAGAUGUCUUCGUGUUUAUUUAAAGAUUAUGGAUAGCAAGUGGGAUAGUAUGAUAUGAUUUGAAGAGUCAAGCUUCCGAAGUUUUAAUUCUCGGAACUCAUUUGCACAAGAAGUGAAAGAAGGUUUUCAUUCUAGCGGUCCGCAGUAGUCUAGAUGUUUUUUUCUAUGUAUUUGUCUAGCGCAUUCUAACUCUGAUAUUUUUGUAAAAUGGGGUCACAUGUAUUUUGAUAUAUGAAAAAUGAUUUGAUUUACGAAAAAUUUACACAGGAUUUUAGGCUUGCUACGGGUUUCGGAGCUACCACUCCCAUUCCCUAGCGCCGGUCGCGACUCAUAAAUUUGGGUCGUGACAAUGACUCUAAGAACUCGCAUCAUUUUGAAAAAGAUGUAGUUGACCCUUAUGAGGAGGAUGGUGCGCUUGUAAUAGUAAGGCCAUAAGGAAUUGUGCCCCAGAUGGUUGAAUAAUUUGAAAAAUUUAUCGCUUCUCUUGAUCACAAAAAUUCAGAGG